GGAAGGAUCAUUAACGCUAAUCCAACAACCUAAACCAAGCCUUAAGUUGCAGCAUUGGAUCAAGCUAGCGAAAGCAGGCUAAUUCUUUGCAGCAUCUAACAAAACUAAACAAAAGGAGUUUAACUAAGCUCUUACACUAAAACCAAAUUUUCAACGAUGGAUAUCUUGGUUCCCAUAACGAUGAAGAACGCAGCGAAGUGCGAUAAGCAGUGCGAAUUGCAGAACCGUGAGUCAUCAGAUUUUUGAACGCAAUUGGCGCCAGUUGGCAAUCCAGCUGGCAUGCUUGUUUCAGUGUCUUGUUUUCUCCUCACCCAAAUCUUAAUGUGAGAGAUACCCUUCUCUUGCUAAGUAUGAAAGCACUCUGUACUUUGCAGGCAACCUUGACUUGUCAAGGGUUGCACUCAAUGCAGCAGUCACAUUCACAUGUGAACUCAUUGAGAGUAGAGACAGUGCAGCUAGUCUGCUAGUGCUUAGAUCUCUAAACUUUACUUGCAUCUGAAAUCAAGCAGGAUCACCCGCUGAACUUAAGCAUAUCACUAAGCGGAGGAAAAGAAAUUAACUAAGAUUGCCCCAGUAACGGCGAGUGAAGCGGCAAAAGCCCAAAAUGGUAAUCUUCACACUUCGUGUGACGAAUUGUAAUCUAAAGGUGGAGCACUCAAUUAGUGGAGACGCAGAAGUGCCCUAGAAUGGGCCGCCAGAGAGGGUGACAGCCCCGUAUGUGGUGUCUCUACUUAACGAGUGUCCUUCGAAGAGUCGGGUUGUUUUGAAUUGCAGCCCUAAGCGGGAGAUAGACUUCUUCUAAGGCUAAAUAUAUAUGGGAAACCGAUAGCGAACAAGUACUGUGAAGGAAAGAUGAAAAGAACUUUGAAAAGAGAGUCAAAAGACUUGAAAUCGUUGUGAAGGAAGCGGUAGAAAUUUAUUCUUCAGUUGUGAACAAAGGUUUUUGCCUAACCAUUGGGGCUCUGAGCACUUAAAAGGCUCUCUGUUUCACUUGGGGAAGUGAUUGCUGAGUUCUAGGCUGUGAGGCAAAAUGGGUUUCCACAUCCACAAAAGCUUGGUUAACCUGAUCCGGUUCGCUGGAUAGUUCUCCUGUGCUCGUGGGCGUGCAGACUGAGGAUGCUUUGUGCGAUUUUGCUAAAAUGGUUUUUACCGACCCGUCUCGAAACACGGACCAAGGAGUCUAACAAAUAUGCGAGUGUGCUGGUGGAAAAACCAACAUGCGUAAUGAAAGUGAUUGAUGCCAAGCGCAAGCAGCAGCAUCGACCGACCAUGAUCCUCCGGUGAAAGGUUUGAGUAUGAGCAUAUCUGUUAGGACCCGAAAGAUGGUGAACUAUGCCUGGGUAGGGUGAAGCCAGGGGAAACUCUGGUGGAGGCUCGUAGCGGUUCUGACGUGCAAAUCGAUCGUCAAACUUGGGUAUAGGGGCGAAAGACUAAUCGAACCAUCUAGUAGCUGGUUCCCUC
Molecule: unclassified non-coding RNA, 1461 nt
Filed under: uncultured fungus
Lineage: Eukaryota; Fungi
Description: sequence contains 18S rRNA gene, ITS1, 5.8S rRNA gene, ITS2, 28S rRNA gene
Rfam family: Eukaryotic large subunit ribosomal RNA (bases 492-1461)
Source: RNAcentral